AUUGAACGCUGGCGGCAUGCUUUACACAUGCAAGUCGAACGGCAGCGCGGGCUUCGGCCUGGCGGCGAGUGGCGAACGGGUGAGUAAUACAUCGGAACGUGCCCAGUAGUGGGGGAUAGCUCGGCGAAAGCCGGAUUAAUACCGCAUACGACCUGAGGGUGAAAGCGGGGGAUCUUCGGACCUCGCGCUCUUGGAGCGGCCGAUGGCAGAUUAGCUAGUUGGUGGGGUAAAGGCCUACCAAGGCGACGAUCGGUAGCUGGUCUGAGAGGACGACCAGCCACACUGGGACUGGGACACGGCCCAGACUCCUACGGGAGGCAGCAGUGGGGAAUUUUAGACAAUGGGCGAAAGCCUGAUCCAGCAAUGCCGCGUGUGUGAUGAAGGCCUUCGGGUUGUAAAGCACUUUUGGCGGGAACGAAAAGGACUGUGCCAAUACCACGGUUCGAUGACGGUACCCGCAGAAUAAGCACCGGCUAACUACGUG
This 484-nucleotide ribosomal RNA is filed under the name uncultured bacterium. RNAcentral's name for it is "partial 16S ribosomal RNA". It matches the Rfam family "Bacterial small subunit ribosomal RNA", at positions 29 to 507 of the family's 1533-position model. The record is from RNAcentral.